GGUACGCUUACGUAAUCC
This 18-nucleotide non-coding RNA is filed under the name Arabidopsis thaliana (thale cress). The record is from RNAcentral. Lineage: Eukaryota; Viridiplantae; Streptophyta; Magnoliopsida; Brassicales; Brassicaceae.